GCGGGUUUAGCUCAGUUGGGAGAGCGUCAGACUGAAGUUCCACUUCAUUCAAAAUCUUGAAAAAGAUAAUCUGAAGGUCAUGUGUUCGAUCCACAUAAACCGCA
Podospora fimiseda is the source of this 104-nucleotide non-coding RNA. Lineage: Eukaryota; Fungi; Ascomycota; Sordariomycetes; Sordariales; Podosporaceae. The record is from the annotation of a GenBank genome assembly.